This 66-nucleotide transfer RNA is filed under the name Agama lionotus. RNAcentral's name for it is "tRNA-His". Lineage: Eukaryota; Metazoa; Chordata; Lepidosauria; Squamata; Agamidae. The record is from RNAcentral.
CCCGGAUAGUUAACAAAUAACACUUAGGUCGUGACCCUAAAAACUAGAGAUGCCCUCUUCCGAGCU